RNAcentral lists this ribosomal RNA (446 nucleotides) under uncultured bacterium. RNAcentral describes it as "partial 16S ribosomal RNA". It matches the Rfam family "Bacterial small subunit ribosomal RNA", at positions 338 to 795 of the family's 1533-position model. The record is from RNAcentral.
CCUACGGGAGGCUGCAGUCGAGAAUCAUUCACAAUGGGGGAAACCCUGAUGGUGCGACGCCGCGUGGGGGAAUGAAGGUCUUCGGAUUGUAAACCCCUGUCAUGUGGGAGCAAAUUAAAAAGAUAGUACCACAAGAGGAAGAGACGGCUAACUCUGUGCCAGCAGCCGCGGUAAUACAGAGGUCUCAAGCGUUGUUCGGAAUCACUGGGCGUAAAGCGUGCGGAGGGUGUUUCGUAAGUCGUGGGUGAAAGGCGCGGGCUCAACCCGCGGACGGCACAUGAUACUGGGAGCCGAGAGUAAGGGGGGGGGAAGCGGAAUGCGCGGUGUAGCAGUGAAAUGCGUAGAUAUCGAGAGGAACACUGGUGGCGAAGGCGGGUUCCUGGACAUUAACUGACGCGGAGGCACGAAGGCGAGGGGAGCGAAAGGGAUUAGAUACCCGAGUAGUC